Non-coding RNA from Kogia breviceps (pygmy sperm whale), 685 nucleotides. Lineage: Eukaryota; Metazoa; Chordata; Mammalia; Artiodactyla; Physeteridae. The record is from RefSeq and is a predicted model, not a curated record.
GUGCCAGCGCCGGCAGCUUCCUGGGACUGGGACGAGGACUCAAGAAAGGGUGGGGGUCGGCAUAGCACUGGCUUCCAGCUCUCCUAGCCUGAGAAUCCCGGGGCCACUCUUGAUCUUGACUCCAUGCCCAGGAGCCAGCGCCCUCCUCCAGACCUGCCUUUUCCAGUAGGCUCCAGCUCUGUCAAGUGGCUCCGCAAGGAGGUUAAAUAACCAACCAGGAUCAGCUGGCCUUCCCAGGAAGGUAGCUGAAGGCUUGGGCUCCGUCAGAGGAAUGGAGUCUAACAGCUUCCUCAUCUUUGCGCACACCCAAGCCGAGGACUUCAGUAUCGUCAACUCCUUCUGCUUUUGAUUUCAUGCCCCCAGCACUGCGCAGCCAUCAGAUCCCAUCAACUGUCUGUGGAAGUACCUCUCAGAGCCAUCUAGUCACUUUAACGAUGAUUAACCCACCCAAUGACAGGGCUCUAGGCAACUCUCUCAGUUGCUGCUGAGUGUAAUCUAGAACAACUUUUCUGGAGGGAAAUUUGGAAAUGUAUUUCAAUAAUCUUUAAAAUAGUUCUAUUGAUGCUUUUGACUCAGCAGUUGCACCCUAUGAAUAAGGGGGGGGGUGGGUAAAAGAUAAGAACAAAGACAUUUUUUAGAGAGCAAGAACAUGUACAACAAUGACAGAUUUUUAAAUAAUAUUUAA